UGUUUGCUUUGCCUUAUAUGAAGGGAUUUCCUCGAGUCAAGCUUACAGAAGCCCAAGCGUACAGAAACCCUCUGUAUGUUGACAGAUACAAAUUGAUUGAAGUUGGAUGAUGAUGAUAUGCUAUUUGUAGAUACGUCCUUUCUAGAUAUAUCUUGUUACUUUGCUUUCCUGGUGAGGUAAGCCUACAUUAAUUCUACCAAAAUUAAUAGUUUCCAUCCUUCAAGUAGGUAGAUUAUUAAUUAUACUUAACUAGCAUUCUGAUAGCUAAAUCACAUUAAGAUGAGUUUCAUAACAAGAUUUUAAUAUCUCCUAUUGCUAUGGUACCAUAAAUAUAUAUAUAGAAAGUAUAAUAGUAAGAAAACCGAAGCCCCCCAAAAAAGAAACCCAAACACAUUUUUCCCUUAAGAUUUGGUCAAUAUCUAAUAUGAAAAAUCAGUAUGUUAACUUUUUUUUUCUUUUUGAGAACAUAUGAAGCAAAUUCUUGAGUGAGUUUACAUUUGUUUAAAUGACAUUUUAUUUUAAAGAAUUAUAAAAACUAAGUAAGCUUUCUAGCCUGAAUUAUCUUUAAUCAUGAGAAAAUUAUUCUAUCAAUCUUAAUAAAUGCUACAAGUGCUUUGUACACAGGCUGUACCCAAGGCUGUGAGCCAUUUGACUUACAUGUGUCAUAACUGCACUUCUCCAAAACUUCCAUCAAGUUCUUCAAGCAGCUGUUUAGAUUAAAAAAACCAAACACUUUUGAGGUGUCUUUCUGAUGAAGGAAGCAUAAAACAUGCGAGGUGAAUGUAACCAGAGCAGGGAGAGGUUACCAAACAGCAUGCAAGCGUCAGUCCUUGAGGUGUAAAUUACAAUGAGUUGUGGAUCUUCUAAAAAUGUCUCUUUUACACAGGCUAAUCUGAACCAUGUAAAGUGUAAGGCUAUCCUAGAAGUUUCUACUUUGAUGAGCUUUCACCAUAACCCAAGUACCUUGCUGGCUUGCUGUCUGCACUGCAGGCUCCAGGGCCUUUGUGCUCUAUGAACUGGGCAGCUGCUCCAUGCAUGCUGCUUCAGCUGGGGCACUCUCCCACACUUCCAGCUGUGGCAGCUGCUAGGAAACCAGUAGAUCAUGAGAUGAACAUCUUGAUAAAAGGAGCUGGAGGAGUUCUCGCCCACUGCCUGCUAACUCUGGCAACAGCCAGUGUACUUGGGCUUUGGGAGGCUUACUCCCUCCCCGAGUGGAGUGCAUUGUAGGCCUUUUGUAGCAAAUUCUGAGUCCUGACCAGCUGCCCUAGGAACUACCACAUUCUGCCAAGUUAGCUGGAUAUUCCAGAAAAAACUGAAAAACCGUUCAGAUGAUGACAUGUGUUGACAUGAACAAUUCUUUGCCAUACUAAAAUAUUAAAAAAAAAAAAAAAAUCAGAAAAUUUACCAUUACUUGAAAGCUGCAUCUCAUUUUCAUGCCUGCUAUUGGGGCUGUGUUUAACAGCUGUGUUCUCUCAGUAUCUGCAGCACAGAGGUAGGAGACCUGAGAAUGUAACCUGAGAUCACACAAAACUGUGGUGGAAAAUUUUGGGAGUCAAGAUAACCUGAGAUGGCAGCACUUGAAACAAGUCCAACCAGACAUAAACAAGCACUUGUGGUGGCUUGUGUCCAUUGGGUUUUCUACCACAUCUGUUUUCUCCAGGGGGGCUCCUCUUGUCCUUGGAGAGACACGGGUGCUGGGCACUGCUUGCACUCUUACCUUGCUACUGGGGUCCAUCAGGAGCUGGCAGGGAUGGUUCAGUGCUUCAGCCCCCACCUUCUUGUACCUGCCAGUCCGAAUGCGCUGCAGGCCCCAAUGAAGUUUUGGGUUAUUUCUAAGUGUAAUUGAAAAAAAAAAAAAAAAUUCCCUGAGAACUGUAAAAGACACAGCUGGGCUGCAGCAGCAGCUUUCCAUGCAAACACAGUAUCUUAUUUAAUGGCUGUGAGCAUUCCUUGUAGUAGAUGCAUGUGUGACAGGAAGAAAAUGAUUUAACAGUAUCCUUCUGGACCAAUUUUAAACAAAAAGUGAAGUUUUUUUAGCAACUAAAAUAUGUGUUGCUGAAGGGACAAAAACACUUCCGGCAUUUAUCCUGCAGCCAAAUGUAAAAUAAAGAUAUAUUGAUCUUUAUGUAAAGCUGACUUUUUUCUGUAUAGAUAGUGGUCAAUUUUGCAAGAACAUCACAAAGAUUUUUAAUGUAAAAUUUCAAGUUUGGAAGUUCUUUGAGGCAUUAAAAUGGGGCAGACUGAUCUGUAUACCCCUGAAUAUAAAUAUUAUAGAUAAAACAGUCAUUAAUGCUUCAGAACUAUAGGGAUUUCUUAAAUUCAGUUUUGUUUUUUAUAGGCAUACAUUUCAAAUUCAAUUUUUCACUGUACGUGUGUAUGUGUAUGUCAUUGCCCUCUACUGGACAGAUCUAGAGUAACUUUUUCAGCAAUGCUGCCAGCUUGCUUGGAGUCUGUGGCUGUUACUUCAGCACAAUCGGAAGAGGGACGCCUUCACACUCCCAAGUAUUAAACGAACAUAUGGAAAUAUCUCUGUAAGGAAAAGGAUUGGGAUUCAACAGUAGAGCUUCAGAGGAUGUUGGUGAAGCCACAUAGCAAGAGCAAUCAAGAAUUCAGCUGUCUCAGGAAGGAAUCAGAGUUUUGGAGACCAAAGGAGCCUAUUCAGACAAGUGUCCUUCAUGCUGUGAGGCUGGGCUGGAUCUAAAGCAAGCAGAGAUGGAGAGAAAAGCCACUUAGUUAAUGCGCUGGACCUGUGCAUGAAAAGGAACACGAGUGUCCUUAUCCCUGCUUCACAGCUCAAGGAAGUGAAGCUUAGAGAAGUAAGCCUGGCUUACCCAAGAUCAUGCAUCACAGAGAAUUGGAUGGAGUGAUAGAACUGUUUUUUUUUUAUCCUGAAGGCACAUCCAGUAUC
Long non-coding RNA from Poecile atricapillus (Black-capped chickadee), 2908 nucleotides. RefSeq lists it as uncharacterized. NCBI's taxonomy places the organism in Eukaryota, Metazoa, Chordata, Aves, Passeriformes, Paridae. The record is from RefSeq and is a predicted model, not a curated record. The transcript is spliced from 3 exons.